RNAcentral lists this ribosomal RNA (476 nucleotides) under uncultured bacterium. RNAcentral describes it as "bacterial SSU rRNA". It matches the Rfam family "Bacterial small subunit ribosomal RNA", at positions 32 to 507 of the family's 1533-position model. The record is from RNAcentral.
ACGACGCUGGCGGCGUGCCUAACACAUGCAAGUCAACUUGACUGAAGGAGCAAUCUGACAGUAGAGUGGCGCAAGGUGCGUAACGCGUAAGUAACUUGCCCAAGGUAAGGAAUAACGUCGAGAAAUCGGCGCUAAUACCUCAUAAUGCAGCGGAUCCGCAUGGAUAUGUUGUUAAAGGUUUACCGCCUUGGGAUAGGCUUGCGUCUGAUUAGCUAGUUGGUGUGGUAACGGCACACCAAGGCUACGAUCAGUAACUGGUCUGAGAGGAUGAUCAGUCACACUGGAACUGAGACACGGUCCAGACUCCUACGGGAGGCAGCAGUGAGGAAUAUUGGGCAAUGCUCGAAAGAGUGACCCAGCAACGCCGCGUGGAGGAUGAAGGUAUUCUACAUCGUAAACUCCUGUGAGAGCAGACGAAAGACAGAUUAUUAAUCUGGAUGACUGUAUGCUCAGAGGAAGCCCCGGCUAACUACGUG